This 379-nucleotide ribosomal RNA is filed under the name Clostridioides difficile. RNAcentral's name for it is "bacterial LSU rRNA". It matches the Rfam family "Bacterial large subunit ribosomal RNA", at positions 1130 to 1515 of the family's 2925-position model. The record is from RNAcentral. Lineage: Bacteria; Bacillati; Bacillota; Clostridia; Peptostreptococcales; Peptostreptococcaceae.
GUGCGUAAUAGCUCACUGGUCGAGUGAUCCUGCGCCGAUGAUUUCCGGGGCUAAAACUUACUACAGAAGCUACGGCAUCAGUAAUGAAGGGUAGGGGAACUUCCCAUACAGGUUGCAGCAUGACCGUAAGGAAAAGUGGACAGUAUGGGAGUGAGAAUGUUGGCAUGAGUAGCGAGAUGUGGGUGAGAAUCACACAGGCCGUAAAACCAAGGUUUCCCGGGGAAGGUUCGUCCGCCCUGGGUUAGACGGGACCUAAGCUGAGGCCGAAAGGAGUAGGUGAUGGACACCAGGUUGAUAAUCCUGUCAUCCCGAUAACGGUGUGGGCAAAGGGAUGUGACAGUAGGAUCAGCUAAGCCAACAGUGGUUUCGGUUGGCCCAA